RNAcentral lists this unclassified non-coding RNA (348 nucleotides) under soil metagenome. RNAcentral describes it as "partial contains 5.8S ribosomal RNA, internal transcribed spacer 2, and large subunit ribosomal RNA". The stretch from base 1 to 120 matches the Rfam family "5.8S ribosomal RNA", at positions 35 to 154 of the family's 154-position model. The record is from RNAcentral.
GAUGAAGAACGCAGCGAAAUGCGAUAAGUAAUGUGAAUUGCAGAAUUCAGUGAAUCAUCGAGUCUUUGAACGCACAUUGCGCCCCCUGGUAUUCCGGGGGGCAUGCCUGUCCGAGCGUCAUUGCUGCCCUCAAGCACGGCUUGUGUGUUGGGCCGCCGUCCCCGGUUUCCCCCGGGGACGGGCCCGAAAGGCAGCGGCGGCACCGCGUCCGAUCCUCGAGCGUAUGGGGCUUUGUCACCCGCUCUGUAGGCCCGGCCGGCGCCAGCCGACACCCAACUUUAUUUCUAAGGUUGACCUCGGAUCAGGUAGGGAUACCCGCUGAACUUAAGCAUAUCAAUAAGCGGAGGA